UGUGCCAAGAGAGAGACAACCAUGUGCCAC
This 30-nucleotide non-coding RNA is filed under the name Homo sapiens (human). The record is from RNAcentral. Lineage: Eukaryota; Metazoa; Chordata; Mammalia; Primates; Hominidae.